CAGUUAGUUGGUGGGGUAAUGGCCUACCAAGACUUCGAUCGAUAGCUGGUCUGAGAGGACGAUCAGCCACACUGGGAUUGAGAACGGCCCAGACUCCUACGGGGGGCAGCAGUGAGGAAUUUUCGUCAAUGGGGGCAACCCUGAACGAGCAACGCCGCGUGCAGGAAGAAGGUUUUCGGAUCGUAAACUGCUUUUCUCUGGGACGAGAACGGACGGUACCAGAGGAAUCAGCCUCGGCUAACUACGUGCCAGCAGCCGCGGUAAUACGUAGGAGGCGAGCGUUGUCCGGAGUUACUGGGCGUAAAGCGCACGCAGGCGGUCAGAUCAGUCUGGAGUGACAGUCGUCGGCUUAACCGACGAAGUGUUCUGGAAACUGUCUGACUUGAGGGCUUCAGAGGGACACGGAAUUCCGGGUGGAGUGGUGAAAUGCGUAGAUAUCCGGAGGAACACCAAUGGCGAAGGCAGUGUCCUGGGAAGUACCUGACGCUCAGGUGCGAAAGCUAGGGGAGCGAACAGGAUUAGAUACCCUGGUAGUCCUAGCCGUAAACGAUGACCACUAGACGUUGGGGGUAUCGACCCCCUCAGUGUCGCAGUUAACACGAUAAGUGGUCCGCCUGGGGAGUACGGUCGC
Molecule: ribosomal RNA, 631 nt
Filed under: uncultured bacterium
Lineage: Bacteria
Description: SSU rRNA
Rfam family: Bacterial small subunit ribosomal RNA
Source: RNAcentral